Molecule: long non-coding RNA, 708 nt
Organism: Asparagus officinalis (garden asparagus)
Lineage: Eukaryota; Viridiplantae; Streptophyta; Magnoliopsida; Asparagales; Asparagaceae
Exons: 3
Source: RefSeq, a predicted model, not a curated record
AUCGAUUAUCUUGUUAAAUUCUAUUUAAAUAUAAUAAAUGACUUGGUUAUUUAUCCAUUUGAUUCUAUUCGAAGCCGGAAAAUUUUAAGCUCAAGGCCUUAAAUAGCAUGAGAAUCACCGUGCAGCCCAACUCCAUUAGUCGCGGCACCCCCCUCCCCGCUCUGACCUCCGUCGACGAUGUCGCGGCCGUCGAUUCCUCAAGCAACAGCAGAUGCUAUCAUGGCAAGUCUACUAUAUCUUGCAAUGCUGUGAGGUGUUAUCUAUAACAUGGUGUGACGUUGCUUCGAAGAGUAAUUGCUAUGCAGCAUCAUGUUGACUUUUUGGCUUUUUAAUUACUUGAAGAAGAAGAAGAAGAAGAAGAAGAAGAAGCAUCUUUUCUAUUUAGGAUAAUCCGGGAACUUGGUAUAGUGAAUUGAAUCCUUGCACCAGUACCCAAUUAUUAUGUGCUGGUCCUGUUUUUAUAUAGUUAGAAGUUUAGGACAGGCUGGUAAUUAAUAAAAUUAGGUUUCAUCACAUGAUGAUGUACUGGGAUUUUUUCUGUUCUCUAUCUAGAAUUGGUUACUGUGUGUGUAUUGGGCCAUGCUUGGUUUAGAAUAAUAUGGAAAGCUACUCUUGUACUUAAUUUUCAUUGUUGAGUGUGGUUGAGGUGUUACAAUCUCAUAGGUUUGUGCUUGCUCAAUUAAUGGAAGUCAACUAUUUUGAAUGUCA